RNAcentral lists this transfer RNA (75 nucleotides) under Rhizobiaceae bacterium. RNAcentral describes it as "tRNA-Asn". It matches the Rfam family "tRNA". Rfam says of the family: Transfer RNA (tRNA) molecules are approximately 80 nucleotides in length. Their secondary structure includes four short double-helical elements and three loops (D, anti-codon, and T loops). Lineage: Bacteria; Pseudomonadati; Pseudomonadota; Alphaproteobacteria; Hyphomicrobiales; Rhizobiaceae. The record is from RNAcentral.
UCCCCGAUAGCUCAGUGGUAGAGCAGUUGACUGUUAAUCAAUUGGUCGCAAGUUCGAAUCUUGCUCGGGGAGCCA